UACGAAGGGGGCUAGCGUUGCUCGGAAUCACUGGGCGUAAAGCGCACGUAGGCGGCUUACUAAGUCAGGGGUGAAAUCCUGGAGCUCAACUCCAGAACUGCCUUUGAUACUGGUGAGCUUGAGUCCGGAAGAGGUGAGUGGAACUGCGAGUGUAGAGGUGAAAUUCGUAGAUAUUCGCAAGAACACCAGUGGCGAAGGCGGCUCACUGGUCCGGUACUGACGCUGAUGUGCGAAAGCGUGGGGAGCAAACAGG
This 253-nucleotide ribosomal RNA is filed under the name uncultured bacterium. RNAcentral's name for it is "partial 16S ribosomal RNA". It matches the Rfam family "Bacterial small subunit ribosomal RNA", at positions 524 to 776 of the family's 1533-position model. The record is from RNAcentral.